UGGCGGCGUGCUUAACACAUGCAAGUCGAACGAUGAACCACUUCGGUGGGGAUUAGUGGCGAACGGGUGAGUAACACGUGGGCAAUCUGCCCUGCACUCUGGGACAAGCCCUGGAAACGGGGUCUAAUACCGGAUACUGACCCGCCUGGGCAUCCAGGCGGUUCGAAAGCUCCGGCGGUGCAGGAUGAGCCCGCGGCCUAUCAGCUUGUUGGUGAGGUAAUGGCUCACCAAGGCGACGACGGGUAGCCGGCCUGAGAGGGCGACCGGCCACACUGGGACUGAGACACGGCCCAGACUCCUACGGGAGGCAGCAGUGGGGAAUAUUGCACAAUGGGCGAAAGCCUGAUGCAGCGACGCCGCGUGAGGGAUGACGGCCUUCGGGUUGUAAACCUCUUUCAGCAGGGAAGAAGCGAAAGUGACGGUACCUGCAGAAGAAGCGCCGGCUAACUACGUGCCAGCAGCCGCGGUAAUACGUAGGGCGCGAGCGUUGUCCGGAAUUAUUGGGCGUAAAGAGCUCGUAGGCGGCUUGUCACGUCGGUUGUGAAAGCCCGGGGCUUAACCCCGGGUCUGCAGUCGAUACGGGCAGGCUAGAGUUCGGUAGGGGAGAUCGGAAUUCCUGGUGUAGCGGUGAAAUGCGCAGAUAUCAGGAGGAACACCGGUGGCGAAGGCGGAUCUCUGGGCCGAUACUGACGCUGAGGAGCGAAAGCGUGGGGAGCGAACAGGAUUAGAUACCCUGGUAGUCCACGCCGUAAACGGUGGGCACUAGGUGUGGGCGACAUUCCACGUCGUCCGUGCCGCAGCUAACGCAUUAAGUGCCCCGCCUGGGGAGUACGGCCGCAAGGCUAAAA
This 848-nucleotide ribosomal RNA is filed under the name Streptomyces sp. Sp080513G1-08. RNAcentral's name for it is "bacterial SSU rRNA". It matches the Rfam family "Bacterial small subunit ribosomal RNA", at positions 37 to 899 of the family's 1533-position model. Lineage: Bacteria; Bacillati; Actinomycetota; Actinomycetes; Kitasatosporales; Streptomycetaceae. The record is from RNAcentral.